Molecule: transfer RNA, 91 nt
Filed under: Candidatus Curtissbacteria bacterium
Lineage: Bacteria; Candidatus Curtissiibacteriota
Description: tRNA-Ser
Rfam family: tRNA
About the family: Transfer RNA (tRNA) molecules are approximately 80 nucleotides in length.
Source: RNAcentral
GGAGGAGUCGCAUAGUUGGUCCAUUGCGGGAGGUUGCUAACCUCCUGAGCCGUUAAUUCGGCUCGCGUGGGUUCGAAUCCCACCUCCUCCG